GACGUAGGGCGCGAGCGUUGUCCGGAUUUAUUGGGCGUAAAGAGCUCGUAGGCGGCUUGUUGCGUCGACUGUGAAAACCUGCGGCUCAACCGUGUGGUCUGCAGUCGAUACGGGCAGGCUGGAGUUCGGUAGGGGAGACUGGAAUUCCUGGUGUAGCGGUGAAAUGCGCAGAUAUCAGGAAGAACACCAAUGGCGAAAGCAGCUUUCUGGGACGGUACUGACGCUGAGACGCGAAAGCGUGGGGAGCGAACAGG
This 254-nucleotide ribosomal RNA is filed under the name uncultured bacterium. Its description in RNAcentral is "partial 16S ribosomal RNA". It matches the Rfam family "Bacterial small subunit ribosomal RNA", at positions 524 to 776 of the family's 1533-position model. The record is from RNAcentral.